Molecule: long non-coding RNA, 893 nt
Filed under: Homo sapiens (human)
Lineage: Eukaryota; Metazoa; Chordata; Mammalia; Primates; Hominidae
Description: HSALNT0294174
Source: RNAcentral
UCAUGCGUGAAUUAUGAAGCUCAUUUUUGCUUGAGAGAAAGGAAAAAUAUCUCGAGCAACUCACACUAAGUUGCCCUUGAGACAGCGUAGUCAGGAAAGACAGAAUAGAUGCCGCCCAAGAUAUUGCCCACUGGGUUUCUUCUUAAUACACAUGCCAAGACCAAUCCACCAAGGAAUGUCUCCAUGUUUAUCAUUAUGGUGAUAUACACGAGGACUUUCUACAAUUGCUUUUUCCCUGCAGUAAUCUGACUAUUGGAGAUCUCACCAGUUUCUUUGUCAAUGAUGUGGGAGAUGUUUACUUCUAAUGAGACAAGGGACAACAGAGUGGAACAGAGUGUGAAACAAGGCUGCUGAUUCGUGUUUUGGUGCAGAACAUUCGAUGCGCAGGAAUUCUUAAUGAUGUUAAAUAGAAGUUACCUAUUCUUAAAAGGAACAGAAGAAAAGGCAGAGCAUCUGGACACAGAUGUAGAGGUAAUCAAGUUACUGAGAGGACUUUCUAGGAGGGUUGAAAUAUGUCCACAGAGUUUUGGCUUGGGAUUGAAGAGCAAAGAGGAGAAAGGCUGCACUGGGAAUCAUCACUCAGCCUUGGUGAAUUGUUUUGAUUAGAGAGAGAGAGGUCUUUGAGAUGGUUUGCAGUGAGAGCGUCAUGGUUUGUGCAGGCAGGCAGUAUUCUUUUUGUCUUUUUAUUGGGCCAAGGACAUCUACAGAUUUUAUCAAUAGGUGCAUAAAAAUUUGUAGAUGGGGGUGGAACAAAGUUUCAUUCUCUCCAUAGACACAGCACCAAAAUUAUCAAAUUGAACACAUUUCUACUUGAGAAGGCUCAAGAUUUGUCCUUAGCCUGAAUUGUGCAUGUUCUUCCUUUUAAUAUGCAUUUUUUUAAAUGCCAGGGGAAA